GUAGCCGGACUGAGAGGUUGAACGGCCGCAUUGGGACUGAGACACGGCCCAGACUCCUACGGGAGGCAGCAGUGGGGAAUAUCGCACAAUGGGGGAAACCCUGAUGCAGCGACGCCGCGUGGAGGAAGAAGGUCUUCGGAUUGUAAACUGUUGUUGAGGAAGAUAAUGACGGUACUCAACAAGGAAGUGACGGCUAACUACGUGCCAGCAGCCGCGUAAAACGUAGGUCACAAGCGUUGUCCGGAAUUACUGGGUGUAAAGGGAGCGCAGGCGGGAAGACAAGUUGGAAGUGAAAUCCAUGGGCUCAACCCAUGAAUUGCUUUCAAAACUGUUUUUCUUGAGUAGUGCAGAGGUAGGCGGAAUUCCCGGUGUAGCGGUGGAAUGCGUAGAUAUCGGGAGGAACACCAGUGGCGAAGGCGGCCUACUGGGCACCAACUGACGCUGAGGCUCGAAAGUGUGGGUAGCAAACAGGAUUAGAUACCCUGGUAGUCCACACUGUAAACGAUGAUUACUAGGUGUUGGAGGAUUGACCCCUUCAGUGCCGCAGUUAACACAAUAAGUAAUCCACCUGGGGAGUACGACCGCAAGGUUGAAACUCAAAGGAAUUGACGGGGGCCCGCACAAGCAGUGGAGUAUGUGGUUUAAUUCGACGCAACGCGAAGAACCUUACCAAGUCUUGACAUCCUGCGACGCACAUAGAAAUAUGUGUUUCCUUCGGGACGCAGAGACAGGUGGUGCAUGGUUGUCGUCAGCUCGUGUCGUGAGAUGUUGGGUUAAGUCCCGCAACGAGCGCAACCCUUAUGGUCAGUUACUACGCAAGAGGACUCUGGCCAGACUGCCGUUGACAAAACGGAGGAAGGUGGGGAUGACGUCAAAUCAUCAUGCCCUUUAUGACUUGGGCUACACACGUACUACAAUGGCGUUAAACAAAGAGAAGCAAGACCGCGAGGUGGAGCAAAACUCAGAAACAACGUCCCAGUUCGGACUGCAGGCUGCAACUCGCCUGCACGAAGUCGGAAUUGCUAGUAAUCGCAGAUCAGCAUGCUGCGGUGAAUACGUUCCCGGGCCUUGUACACACCGCCCGUCACACCAUGAGAGCCGGGGGGACCCGAAGUCGGUAGUCUAACCGCAAGGAGGACGCCGCCGAAGGUAAAACUGGUGAUUGGGGUGAAGUCGUAACAAGGUAGCCGUAGGAGGAACCUGCGGCUG
RNAcentral lists this ribosomal RNA (1209 nucleotides) under metagenome. RNAcentral describes it as "bacterial SSU rRNA". It matches the Rfam family "Bacterial small subunit ribosomal RNA", at positions 283 to 1520 of the family's 1533-position model. The record is from RNAcentral.